This 3081-nucleotide long non-coding RNA is filed under the name Homo sapiens (human). RNAcentral's name for it is "HSALNT0206540". Lineage: Eukaryota; Metazoa; Chordata; Mammalia; Primates; Hominidae. The record is from RNAcentral.
GUUGUCGUCAUUUUCUCAUGCCUCCCAAAGAUUUUGGCUCAAAGUAGUCCGAAAAGAUUUUGGAUUAAGUCUCAGAAACAUAAGCUGAUAUGCUUUUAGUUUUAUAUGAUUCUGUGAAAACUUAAAAAUAAAAUCCUGAAUUGAUAUUUUAUUCUACUUUUUAUUUUUUAGAGUCAGAGUCUUGCUCUGUCCACCAGGCAACCCCACACUCCUGGCCUCAAGUGAUCCUCCUGCCUCAGUCUGCCAAGUAGCUAGGACUGCAGGUGCACCACCAUGCCUGGCUAACUUUUAAAAUCUUUUUUGUAGAAACAGAGUCUUGCUAUGUGGCCAAGUUGGUCUUGAACUCCUGGCCUUGAGUGAUCCUCCCACCUCUACCUCCCGAAGCACUGUUAUUAUAGGUAAGAGCCACGGCACCUGGCUUCUGUCUUUACGAAAAUCGGCCAUUUGAUUUGUCAUUUCCACAUCACCAUUAAUGUUUGGUUAAAUGUGAGGUUGUAGGUAGUUUCUAUUUAAACAUCAGGACUUAGUUAUGCCUGUUGUAUCAAUCAAUGCAUAAAUGUGAAGCCAGAGGUGACAACAUUUGAGUAGGAAUUUAAGUUGUUUUAAAUAAUUUCUAGGGCAUUGUGAUGCAAAUAUUUGCAUGUAAUCCAAUACAAAUGUCAAUAAUAUUUUUGAGGAUAAUGAUACAGAGGACAUUUUACUAUAGGAAUAAAAUCAAGGAAAGAAUUUUGACAAAAGAAAGAACUCAUUUGAAACAAUGCCCAAGCCUCUGCUUCAAGUCAACAGGGAAGGAGAACGGCACCUACCUCACAUUAGAAGCCUGCUGCAGUCAUGUAAAGAAGGUAACCAUGGCAAGAAACUGCUUGUUUCCAUGCAUAAUGUAUUUAACUUAGAGACUGGCAUGGGCCUUAGAGGAAGCCCUAAUGAUGCACUGUUCAAAACCAGAAAGAUGUGAGAGGGAUGUGCCGGUGCUGAGAUUUCCUUCAAGGCUCUGAAAGCUGGAAGCGAGACAGAGAUCUCCUGCAGAGCAUCUCUCCUCACUGAUACCUGAAACACGUGCUGGCCCUGAUUCCUUUAAACAUCAGAAAUGUGGUGUCAAGGCUCUGGGUGUCCAAGUGGUGUGAGCAGGUCAUGGGAUCCUGGAGUCCAGCUAGAACAUAGGAAAGAAGUCUGAGUUCCGCAGGUACUCUUGCCAGACCCCGGGUUUAUUCUGCUCCGAUCCUGAUGCACGCAGGGCAACACACAAGGAGAGAGGCCUGCUGCUGUAUUUUAAUGGAUCGUCUCAGCUGGCAUCUCAUUUCCAAUACUGGCCUUCACAAGGCGUUCCUUUCCCGUCCUAUCUAUGCAGCAGAGGCCGACUGGCAGGAUCACCACAGUGUUGCUUCUGCACAUUCCAUCACUGUCCACGCGUGAGAGCCAUGACACAGGACUUGGUCCGAGGUCAAGUGUAAAUCCCAGCUGUGGAGGCUCCUCCAAGAGGUAAAAUUGUGGUAACUUCAAGGUGGCUUGAGUGCUUCAUUCUCUUGGAUUGAGAACAUCUGCAGUUGGGACACAGGUAGAAAAGCACCUGGCUUCUCGCCUUUCUAGACCUAAGCCAGGCAGGCAGUUUGGGAGCUCCCUACUCUUCCUAGUGGGUGAGGCAAACAGGAAGCCUGGAAACAAAUUUCAGACGCUGAACUUUUCCCUCCACACCAAAGAGGCUACAUAACAAAUACCGUUCUGGUGUAGAUCUAAAGAACCCAUUGAUCAACUUAAAUUCUUCAGUGGAGUGGUAUGUAAUGUGAUUUCUGAAAGUGAGAAAACUUCCAUAUAUUGUGAAUAUAUUUAAAGUCAAUAAACAUGUUAAUUCAUAAAAGUGAACCCUUACCUGUAAUUGUGGUCAAUUGAAAUGCAAAUAAUUAAAUCAUAGAUUAAAUAACAAUUUUAAUCAUGUCUUUUAAAAACAGGAACAGAAAAAGUAUAUGAAUAAAAGACUUGUUUAUUAUUCGAUGGGCACAUAGCCAAGAAAUCUGAAAAGAUGGGAAGUAACGGGGCCAUAGCAUGGAGUACACAUGAGGCACUUAGAUGGCAUUCCUUGAUUGUUCAUCACCUUGGUCAUUAAAGGAAUUAAGCACAUUAAUUCCUUAAUUAAUUAAUAAUGAAAGAAAACAAUCGAGGAAAAGUUUGAGAUCAGUCUAUUCCUGGACUGGAAAUAGAUGACUAGAUGUACAUUAGAAUUGAUGAUUCCAGGAACACUUAGAAUUGUGAAAAAUAUAGAGUACCUGCCCUCAAAGAAGCAAGCAACUUAGGAUGGAAAAAAUGAAUGUACAUAAGUCAUAUGAAGGAAAGAAGGGAAUCAGCAGCCAGGGAAGUGUCCUUGGAGCUGCGUCUGAUAAUAGCUGUGCUACGAUUAAUUAUAUAAAAAAUAAUAAUUCAAACUGGAACACUGUCAUUGCUGCACUUAUGUAUUCAAAAUGCAGCCAUAGUACUGCCAUUUACACUUGUGUCCUUUAUUGAGUUGGUGUGAAAACUCUACCGCAAAUCAACUGUGAGACAGCAGUGCAGCCAUUAUGUCCUUAUUUUACAGAUAAAGACGUUCAAGACCAUAGGAGAAUAGCACCUGUGUUAGAUAAUUCUAGAGAACACCAUUCAUAUCGUAGCCACCAAGUGACUUACUUAAGAUAGCAACUCUGGGUAAUAAUAGGGCUAAAUCUUGGCAAAGCUUCAGUGUGAGAAUAUGGGCAUUGGAGUCAGAUGGGCAUUUAUAAGCUGAAUAAACUUGGUCCUCAUGUUUGUCAUCAUUAUCAUCAUUUAUUUUCUUUGUGCCUCAGUUUCCUAAUCAGCAAAAUGGAAUAACAGUAAUUGUUUCACACAUUUGUUGGGAGGAUUAAUGAGGUAUGUAUGCAAAGCACUUAGCACAAAGUAUGUAUUUAAUAAAUAGUUCCAGUUACAUAAAUAAUAUUAUUUAGAACCCAUGAAUUUGGAUUUCUAGAUGAGAACUCCUGAUACAUUAUGCUUCUCAUGCUUUUAACAUCUAAUAAUUCCAUAUAGACAUAUCUGUUAAACAGAUAUGUGUGAAAAUAAGCAGACACACUCUUUCAC